AAACUCGGUAUAAUUGAUGAUA
RNAcentral lists this small nuclear RNA (22 nucleotides) under Arabidopsis thaliana (thale cress). RNAcentral's name for it is "snRNA_09317". The record is from RNAcentral. Lineage: Eukaryota; Viridiplantae; Streptophyta; Magnoliopsida; Brassicales; Brassicaceae.